RNAcentral lists this transfer RNA (70 nucleotides) under Candidatus Pelagibacter sp. Its description in RNAcentral is "tRNA-Ser". Lineage: Bacteria; Pseudomonadati; Pseudomonadota; Alphaproteobacteria; Candidatus Pelagibacterales; Candidatus Pelagibacteraceae. The record is from RNAcentral.
UGCGAAAAAAAAUUGCUGCGCGGGACUCAUAAGCCCGAGGUCAGUGGUUCGAUCCCACUUCCCGCUACCA